Long non-coding RNA from Xiphophorus couchianus (Monterrey platyfish), 2478 nucleotides. RefSeq lists it as uncharacterized. NCBI's taxonomy places the organism in Eukaryota, Metazoa, Chordata, Actinopteri, Cyprinodontiformes, Poeciliidae. The record is from RefSeq and is a predicted model, not a curated record. The transcript is spliced from 2 exons.
CGAAGGGUUUCUGCGUCUGCUUCUCCUCACAGCGGUACACGAUGGAUGUCGCUCCUCUGAAAACACAAGAAACACUGAAUUCAUCGGAAUCCUGCAAAACCAGGGAGGUUGGUUCUGGUUUUCUGUGGGGAAAACAGAUCCGUCUGAGCAGCAAUCACACACCGCCAUGCAGGGACUCGAUCUCCAUGGCAACGGGACACCAUGAAGCAGAGCGUGUUAGACGCGGCGGCGUUAGCGCUGCAUGUUCACAGAGACGCCAUCAAACACAGACAUGAUGUGUCACACAGCGGCCAAUCAGAGCCAGGAAACACCGAGGCAUUAAAACGGAGCAGGUCUGCGGUCCAGAGACACAACACACACACACACACACACACACACACACACAGGGCCGUAAACAUCAGGCCACACACAGGGGGCGCUGCGUUCAGCCACAACAUUAUCUUUAGUUUUAAUUCUUCGCUUGAAUGUUUUGUGUUUUAUCUGUCACUACAACACAUUUCUCUGGAUAAAUCAUACCUUAUUGAUCCAGUAAUGAUUGCGAUAAACAAUAAUCAGGGCCGGUCCAAACCUUUUUGGGGCCCUAAGCAAAUUUUCACCUGGCCCCCAUAUCAACAAGUCACCACCAGAUGCUUCAGCAUUCCUGAGCUUCUCUCCUGCUAACAUUAGCAUCAUCUGUACUUAGCUUACAUCAUGUCAGUGUUACUAUAGCUGCUGAUAUUUAACCUCACGUUAUUAACAAACUGAAAGAAAUAUUUGGAUUUUGAAAUGCAGAGUUAAGUGCAUUUUUAUUUUAACUACUUAAAAGAAACAUCAGCUGAAAAACAUUCAGUAAACAAGUUAAUAAGUUUAAUAUCUUGUAUUUUUCUGGAUGAUAUUAGUCUGUUCUUUAUGGAGGAGUUAAAUUUAAUCUGUUUGUAGUGUCUGAUGUUUUCUGCAUAUUCCAAGUUCUGACUGUUGUUCUGCUGUCUUUAUAUUUCAGCUUUGAAAAGUGGACUAAAGCAGCCCACAGAAUGAUGCUGCCUCCACCGUGCUGGGCAGCUGCAGCUCGCCUCCUACAAACAUCAAGGUCAAAAUCUGAAUCGUUCUCAUUCAGUAACUCCUGCUUUCAGAAAAUAGGUUGAACCGAUUCCUUUUCAAUCUAAGACGCUUUCAGUCGCCGUUCCCACCGCGCAGAAAUCUACGAUUCUCCUCCUUAGUUUCCAAGCCGCCGAUAAAAACUAAUUAUAGCUGCAGCCACAAUCAUUCCACCCUGAACACAGAUCAAUUAUUAAAGACCCAGGAUUAAUAUAAGAUUCAUGCCGACGAUGAGUGGAUAGAAACUUCUGACUGGAAUAUUUAUAAAAUAAAACACAAGCUGACAUGUUUUAAUCUGAAAUUCACCUGAAGUUUUUAAUGAUCUGUUUUUUUCCAACAUGAGGAGAAAAGUAUAAUUCCCUCAGAACUCAAGAUGUUUUGCUUAUGUUUGUAAUUUUUAGUGUUUAAUUUCUGAUGUUUCUCAGCUGUGAAAACAUCUCCAGCGGUUUAUAAGAGAACAUGAGCAGUGCUGAAAUCAGCAAACUGUUUUUGAAACAUGACUAAACAACAUGUGUGAAAUAUUGUGGAGGCAGUUAAAACAGUAGAUUCAUUUAUUUCUUAUUUUGUUUGUGAUGUCAGCGAAACUAAAGUUGAGAAAACAACAGCAUAUUAACCAAAUAUUUCCUUAAUGUUUUUAAAAAGGUUUGAAAAGAGAUUAAAAUUAGAUUUUUAGCAUUUAAAUGAAAAAUUAUCAAAAUGAAAAUAUAAAAUGUUUUAAAAUGUCAACAAAGAGCUGAACAUAAGCAAAAAGUAAUAGAGAAACAAAAACAAUAUAACACAAAAUUAAUGUUUUCUUAAAUAUCUAUACAGAAUAUAAAAGUAUGAAAAACAUCCAUCAGCAGGCGCAGCUUUCUUAGAGCUAUGCAGACGCAUCAGUGCCUCUGUUAUUAAUCAUAUUUUUUACAUAUGCACAAAUAUCUUAAAUACAGAAAAUUCUGAGUUGAAAUAUUUGUGCCUGUUCUGGCGCCCCCUCCCCUGCGGCGCCCCUCCGGUGAACACCCACUUUCUGCGACCAAUCGUGUUUUUGGACCGUGGGAGGGAAAAUAUUAUCACUAAAACAUGAAGAAGCUAAACUAUUGUAUGAAGAAGCAUUAAAAUGCUAAUAAUAGUUUCCUGUUGGAGCUAAGCUGAUUAUUACCCGGCCGGUUCCGCCUGCAGCCCCCCGCCGGCCGUAGAACCGCUCCUGCGUGUUUACACGUUAAACCCUCAUUAAUUCAUUAACAGCCUGUUUUCCGUCUCUGCUGCGAGCAGGAAGCGGCUCUGAUGUUAUUGGUUCCGGCUGGACUCGGAUACCCAGUAACAUCUCAGGCUGGAUUAUGAAGUUAAUCCUGAAGCGUCACAUGGACCCACAUGUGGCCAACUUUGGCCCACUCAAAGGAGCAGAACAACCCGCCACUUCCCCUC